RNAcentral lists this ribosomal RNA (485 nucleotides) under uncultured bacterium. RNAcentral describes it as "bacterial SSU rRNA". It matches the Rfam family "Bacterial small subunit ribosomal RNA", at positions 35 to 507 of the family's 1533-position model. The record is from RNAcentral.
GCUGGCGGCAGGCCUAACACAUGCAAGUCGAGCGGUAACAUUUCUAGCUUGCUAGAAGAUGACGAGCGGCGGACGGGUGAGUAAGCGUAGAAAUCUACCUAGUAGUGGGGGAUAGCCCAGAGAAAUUUGGAGUUAAUACCGCAUACGCCCUACCGGGGGAAAGACCGGGGGAGUCUUCGGACCUCGUGCUAUUAGAUGAGUCUGCGUCGGAUUAGCUUGUUGGUGAGGUAAUGGCUCACCAAGGCGACGAUCCGUAGCUGGUCUGAGAGGAUGACCAGCCACACUGGAACUGAGACACGGUCCAGACUCCUACGGGAGGCAGCAGUGGGGAAUAUUGCACAAUGGGCGCAAGCCUGAUGCAGCCAUGCCGCGUGUGUGAAGAAGGCCUUAGGGUUGUAAAGCACUUUCAGCAGUGAGGAAAGGGGUGUCGUUAAUAGCGCCAUCCUGUGACGUUAACUGCAGAAGAAGGACCGGCUAACUCCGUG